Molecule: unclassified non-coding RNA, 150 nt
Filed under: uncultured Fusarium
Lineage: Eukaryota; Fungi; Ascomycota; Sordariomycetes; Hypocreales; Nectriaceae
Description: partial internal transcribed spacer 2
Source: RNAcentral
CAACCCUCAAGCUCAGCUUGGUGUUGGGACUCGCGGUAACCCGCGUUCCCCAAAUCGAUUGGCGGUCACGUCGAGCUUCCAUAGCGUAGUAAUAGUACACCUCGUUACUGGUAAUCGUCGCGGCCACGCCGUAAAACCCCAACUUCUGAA